GUUUGCACUUGUCGGGGAAGGGUGAGAACCUUCGAUUAAGGUUCGACUCGAGCGAAAGCGAGAGAACGUUGCCAACGGCAACGGCCCGUAGGUUGAGGAGCG
This 102-nucleotide small RNA is filed under the name Salmonella enterica. Its description in RNAcentral is "partial RtT sRNA". It matches the Rfam family "RtT RNA", at positions 1 to 100 of the family's 130-position model. Rfam says of the family: This family represents a bacterial cis-regulatory element known as RtT RNA. The record is from RNAcentral. Lineage: Bacteria; Pseudomonadati; Pseudomonadota; Gammaproteobacteria; Enterobacterales; Enterobacteriaceae.